This is a long non-coding RNA of Sinocyclocheilus rhinocerous, 433 nucleotides long. RefSeq lists it as uncharacterized. The record is from RefSeq and is a predicted model, not a curated record. The transcript is spliced from 3 exons. Lineage: Eukaryota; Metazoa; Chordata; Actinopteri; Cypriniformes; Cyprinidae.
GAUUUACAGUUUAAGUAACAGAAUUAGGCAUUUUUAAUGGACACAGAAAGUGUUGAUGUCUGUGCAUGAUUUUAAAGCAAGUUCUGGCUAAAUACAUUUUGUCCAUAAAAUGGGCGUCAUAUGGUGUGACAUUACAAUCUGUAUUUUGAACGGGCAAUAAUUUGGACAUCAUUAUGAUGAAGAGGUCCACACUCAACCAGGAAGCUGCAGUGUCCUCUCUGGAGUGGUUUGGAAGGUGAACUGGCAGAAAUGUCAAGUAAAGAGAGGACACGAAAAUACAAGGAAAGACUCAAUGCUGACCAUGCAAGGAGAGAGGAGGUCCUGAGGGAAAGGAGGAAAAAGUAAAAAGGGAAGAAACAAAGAGGACAACUCAAGGCAUUCAGUGUGCACACCCUUCUUCCUUCAAGACAAGAGAAAAUGAGAGAGAUGUGGA